Molecule: ribosomal RNA, 253 nt
Filed under: uncultured bacterium
Lineage: Bacteria
Description: partial 16S ribosomal RNA
Rfam family: Bacterial small subunit ribosomal RNA
Source: RNAcentral
GACAGAGGGUGCAAACGUUGUUCGGAAUUACUGGGCGUAAAGCGCGUGUAGGCGGCUACGCAAGUCGGAUGUGAAAGCCCUUGGCUCAACUGAGGAAGUGCAUUCGAAACUGCGUAGCUCGAGUCCCGGAGAGGAUGGUGGAAUUCUCGGUGUAGAGGUGAAAUUCGUAGAUAUCGAGAGGAACACCAGUGGCGAAGGCGGCCAUCUGGACGGUGACUGACGCUGAGACGCGAAAGCAUGGGGAGCAAACAGG